UAUGUGGCAGUGAAUAGAAGAAGUAAAUAUAUUCUUAUAUGUAAAGAGAGGAAGUAGAGGGUGUAAAGCUUCUCAUAUGAGGUUUAUUGAAGGCUGUCUAGGAGCCUAUUAUGGUGUUUGAGAGAUAUGGAUUUUAUAAUUUUAAAUCUAUAUAAUUAGGGUGGUACCGCGAAAAACUUUCGUCCCUUUU
RNAcentral lists this non-coding RNA (190 nucleotides) under Clostridium kluyveri. Its description in RNAcentral is "T-box sequence". It matches the Rfam family "T-box leader". From Rfam's summary of the family: Uncharged tRNA acts as the effector for transcription antitermination of genes in the T-box leader family. Lineage: Bacteria; Bacillati; Bacillota; Clostridia; Eubacteriales; Clostridiaceae. The record is from RNAcentral.